AGCGAACGCUGGCGGCAGGCCUAACACAUGCAAGUCGAACGAACCUUUCGGGGUUAGUGGCGGACGGGUGAGUAACACGUGGGAACGUGCCUUUAGGUUCGGAAUAACUCAGGGAAACUUGUGCUAAUACCGAAUGUGCCCUUCGGGGGAAAGAUUAAUCGCCUUUAGAGCGGCCCGCGUCUGAUUAGCUAGUUGGUUGAGGUAAUGGCUCACCAAGGCGACGAUCAGUAGCUGGUCUGAGAGGAUGAUCAGCCACAUUGGGACUGAGACACGGCCCAAACUCCUACGGGAGGCAGCAGUGGGGAAUCUUGCGCAAUGGGCGAAAGCAUGACGCAGCCAUGCCGCGUGAAUGAUGAAGGUCUUAGGAUUGUAAAAUUCUUUCAACGGGGACGAUAAUGACGGUACCCGGAGAAGAAGCCCCGGCUAACUUCGUG
Molecule: ribosomal RNA, 434 nt
Filed under: uncultured bacterium
Lineage: Bacteria
Description: partial 16S ribosomal RNA
Rfam family: Bacterial small subunit ribosomal RNA
Source: RNAcentral